CCUAGGGGAGGCAGCAGAAGGGGAAUUUUGGACAAUGGGGGCAACCCUGAUCCAGCCAUUCCGCGUGAGUGAAGAAGGCCUUCGGGUUGUCUUUUUUCAAAACGAAAGGGAAGAAACGAUACAGUCUAAUAAACUGUGUUAAUGACGGUACCUUGAUAAGAAGCACCGGCUAACUACGUGCCAGCAGCCGCGGUAAU
This 197-nucleotide ribosomal RNA is filed under the name uncultured beta proteobacterium. RNAcentral describes it as "partial 16S ribosomal RNA". It matches the Rfam family "Bacterial small subunit ribosomal RNA", at positions 338 to 524 of the family's 1533-position model. The record is from RNAcentral. Lineage: Bacteria; Pseudomonadati; Pseudomonadota; Betaproteobacteria.